GAACGCUGAAGAGAGGAGCUUGCUCUUCUUGGAUGAGUUGCGAACGGGUGAGUAACGCGUAGGUAACCUGCCUUGUAGCGGGGGAUAACUAUUGGAAACGAUAGCUAAUACCGCAUAACAAUGGAUGACACAUGUCAUUUAUUUGAAAGGGGCAAUUGCUCCACUACAAGAUGGACCUGCGUUGUAUUAGCUAGUAGGUGAGGUAACGGCUCACCUAGGCGACGAUACAUAGCCGACCUGAGAGGGUGAUCGGCCACACUGGGACUGAGACACGGCCCAGACUCCUACGGGAGGCAGCAGUAGGGAAUCUUCGGCAAUGGGGGCAACCCUGACCGAGCAACGCCGCGUGAGUGAAGAAGGUUUUCGGAUCGUAAAGCUCUGUUGUAAGUCAAGAACGAGUGUGAGAGUGGAAAGUUCACACUGUGACGGUAGCUUACCAGAAAGGGACGGCUAACUACGUGCCAGCAGCCGCGGUAAUACGUAGGUCCCGAGCGUUGUCCGGAUUUAUUGGGCGUAAAGCGAGCGCAGGCGGUUUGAUAAGUCUGAAGUUAAAGGCUGUGGCUCAACCAUAGUUCGCUUUGGAAACUGACAAACUUGAGUGCAGAAGGGGAGAGUGGAAUUCCAUGUGUAGCGGUGAAAUGCGUAGAUAUAUGGAGGAACACCGGUGGCGAAAGCGGCUCU
This 681-nucleotide ribosomal RNA is filed under the name uncultured Bacilli bacterium. Its description in RNAcentral is "bacterial SSU rRNA". It matches the Rfam family "Bacterial small subunit ribosomal RNA", at positions 64 to 728 of the family's 1533-position model. Lineage: Bacteria; Bacillati; Bacillota; Bacilli. The record is from RNAcentral.